RNAcentral lists this ribosomal RNA (402 nucleotides) under uncultured prokaryote. RNAcentral describes it as "bacterial SSU rRNA". It matches the Rfam family "Bacterial small subunit ribosomal RNA", at positions 355 to 774 of the family's 1533-position model. The record is from RNAcentral.
UGGGGAAUAUUGCACAAUGGGGGAAACCCUGAUGCAGCGACGCCGCGUGGAGGAAGAAGGUCUUCGGAUUGUAAACUCCUGUUGUUGAGGAAGAUAAUGACGGUACUCAACAAGGAAGUGACGGCUAACUACGUGCCAGCAGCCGCGGUAAAACGUAGGUCACAAGCGUUGUCCGGAAUUACUGGGUGUAAAGGGAGCGCAGGCGGGAAGACAAGUUGGAAGUGAAAUCCAGGGGCUCAACCCAUGAACUGCUUUCAAAACUGUUGUUCUUGAGUAGCGCAGAGGUAGGCGGAAUUCCCGGGGUAGCGGUGGAAUGCGUAGAUAUCGGGAGGAACACCAGUGGCGAAGGCGGCCUUCUGGGCACCAACUGACGCUGAGGCUCGAAAGUGUGGGUAGCAAACA